GAUGAACGCUGGCGGCGUGCCUAAUACAUGCAAGUCGAGCGAACAGAUAAGGAGCUUGCUCCUUUGACGUUAGCGGCGGACGGGUGAGUAACACGUGGAUAACCUACCUAUAAGACUGGGAUAACUUCGGGAAGCCGGAGCUAAUACCGGAUAACAUAUUGAACCGCAUGGUUCAAUAGUGAAAGGCGGCUUUGCUGUCACUUAUAGAUGGAUCCGCGCCGUAUUAGCUAGUUGGUAAGGUAACGGCUUACCAAGGCAACGAUACGUAGCCGACCUGAGAGGGUGAACGGCCACACUGGAACUGAGACACGGUCCAGACUCCUACGGGAGGCAGCAGUAGGGAAUCUUCCGCAAUGGGCGAAAGCCUGACGGAGCAACGCCGCGUGAGUGAUGAAGGUCUUCGGAUCGUAAAACUCUGUUAUCAGGGAAGAACAAAUGUGUAAGUAACUGUGCACAUCUUGACGGUACCUGAUCAGAAAGCCACGGCUAACUACGUG
This 497-nucleotide ribosomal RNA is filed under the name uncultured bacterium. RNAcentral describes it as "partial 16S ribosomal RNA". It matches the Rfam family "Bacterial small subunit ribosomal RNA", at positions 28 to 507 of the family's 1533-position model. The record is from RNAcentral.